This 355-nucleotide long non-coding RNA is filed under the name Homo sapiens (human). RNAcentral's name for it is "non-protein coding lnc-AMY1B-1:6". Lineage: Eukaryota; Metazoa; Chordata; Mammalia; Primates; Hominidae. The record is from RNAcentral.
AUUGGCACGAGGGAUACCAACACCGGAAUAUGUGAUGAGAUGUGUGAAGAGCAUGGCAAUGGAUGCAAACUCCCUUUGUGUUUCUGGCUUUAAGCAGCUCUAUACUCUCAUGCUGUCCUACACUCAGCAGCAAUUUGUCACAAGUUUGGGAAAUUCUUCCUACUCUUUUGAACUCCAGCCCAAUUUCCUUUCUAUCACUGCCCUAGGUCUUACUCUUCCAGAAGAAAAAGGGAAAACCCAACCUGAAUGUCCCCUAAAAGUGAAGAAAUGUCCACACUUCUAUGUGCAGAUUGGUAUCUACAUACAGACCUCUUGGAGGAGUCAGACAAACAAGAUCUUGAAUCUUUACUGAUCU